This 862-nucleotide long non-coding RNA is filed under the name Medicago truncatula (barrel medic). Its description in RNAcentral is "lncRNA gene4550". Lineage: Eukaryota; Viridiplantae; Streptophyta; Magnoliopsida; Fabales; Fabaceae. The record is from RNAcentral.
CCCCUUCAUUUCAAUCCCAAUCUUCUUCACUCAACAUAUCACCAUCAUUUUCAGUAGGUGGUCUAACAACAAUAACUACAUUCCCUAAACACUCAUUAACCCCCAUUUCCUUCAAAAUCGAACCCCUUUGAACCUUUAAACCAACAUCAUUACCAUCAUCUUUUACCAAAUAAAACCCAUCAUCAUUCUCCACCUCCCUCUUACUCCUAUCAGCAACCACCAAAAUAGGCUCUUCCUUACACCACCUAUUAUUAGCCUUCCAUGGCAAAACUCUCGCAUCCAAAAACGACACAACAACGCCUUUCCCUAAAUUAACCACCGGUCCCCAAGCCGGUAACACCACCCAUUUCUCCCACCCUUUCUCCGCCACCACAAUACCAAACUCCCCUUCCUUUCUUAUCUCAGAAGGUGCUUCCAUAAUCACCCUUUCUCCUUCCUCAGCUUUACACACGGGCAAAACAACCACCGAGGUUGUCGUAUUUUGAUGGGAGAGGUGUUGGUGGUGGUCGGAAAGGUUGGUAUAGUUGUUUCUGUGGUUGUUGCUGUUGUUGUUGUUGUACUUGUCUUUGUUUUUUGCUGUGUGAUGAUGGGUUGUUGAGGACGGCUGAGAUUGAUUUAAAGCGGUAAAAAGAACGGUUGAGAUUGGAGGAAGAGGGUGGGAUAUUAAGAAAUUUUAGAUUUAGAGUGUUUACAGAACUGAUACAUGGUGAAAGCAUCUUGGGAAGUAGAUUGAAGAAUUGGUUAUGGUGUAGUAUUUGUGUUGAGUGCCUUAUCUGAUAGAUAUAGAUAGAUAGAUGUUUAUCAGUUUCUUUAGAUUUUACACUGAAAGAGGAGUGUUCACUUCUUUAGAUUUUUUUGUUUC